RNAcentral lists this long non-coding RNA (2596 nucleotides) under Sus scrofa (pig). RNAcentral describes it as "lncRNA (ENSSSCG00015033549.1)". The record is from RNAcentral. Lineage: Eukaryota; Metazoa; Chordata; Mammalia; Artiodactyla; Suidae.
AGGUUAUAUUGGGAUGAAAACAAAAGUGUGCCUCCAGUUCAGUUUGGAGUGUGAUCCCUAGGAACCGGAAUGAAUAAAAUAGGCCGGGAAGGCUUGCAUGCCUUACAUCCUUAAUGCAGCUGGUGUGCCGCGCUGCUCGAAGGCAGAGACUUGGCGUCAUGGUCCUUAGUGGACCGGCCUUUAUCUCAGCAUUAAGAUCCCUGAUGGCAAAUAACAGUGAUUGCGCCUCAUUGGAAAAUAUUGUGGCUGCCAUUGUACUUCUUAAGAGAUUCCCCACCUCCUUCUUUUUCCCUGCGUUCAUUCCAACAUACUCUCUUGUAGAAUGUUCUCCACUCCUCUUCACUCAGAGGGAGGCAACGAAUUGGUCUACUCUCCAAGGAAAACUUUAUAGUAUAGCCAGGGACUGUGCCUGGCCAGAGUCUGCUGUUGCUAAGAAAAUCAAUUCAAUAAAUUUAAUUCAUUAAAAAUGUCCAUGAUUCAAAACAUUACUAAAGCAUCACAUUAUUAUUUACGUUGAAAAGUGGGACUGUAAACAGCCAAUGUUUAAUUUGAAGAAAUUAUUUGAGUAUUGGACAUGAAUUCAAAUCAGUUUUAUUAAAUAACUCCUUGUGCCCAUGACUAUGCUACGUGCCAGGUUCCUGAUUUUAGUGGAAGCAUCACUGCUCAUGGGAAACUUACUCUAUAGCAAUGAAUAUGAUGGAGCACAGUAUGGAUGGAUGGUGAUGUGGGUAUCUCCUUCCCCUUCAACUUGGUAUUGGAUCAGGAUCCACAUUUGCCAUUGUUCAGGGUUCCGGUUGUUUGUAAGCGAUGGUGUUUCUUCCCCAACGCGUUGCCUCCAGAAGUGUGUGAUAACCAUCCGAGCCUCAUCGCUAAGGUUAAUUUUGAUCUCGUGGCCGAAGUGUCAUCUGCUGUCCCCAUCGCCGUUUGCAGGAGGACUAUUUGCUAGGCGCUUUUCCAGAUGCUCGGAGUCCUUGCUUCGGCUCUUCACAACUGCCUUGUCGGUAUUCUUUCCACUUUACAGACGAAGAUGCAAGACUCAGAGUGUCCAUGGGACCUGCCAAAGGUCUUGCUGCUGGAAAGGGGUAAAGGGAUUCCUGAGACUUGUGCAGGUGCCAACAGGAAGAGACUCUUUGCUGGCCUUGAAGAUGUGGGAAGUCUGGCCAGCACCUGCUCUACUGUAGCCAUCCUGCCAUGCCAUGGGCUGGGCUUAUCUCCGAGUAAGAGCCGCCCAUGGAUCGAAUCUUCAGCCAGGUCUACAUCUGGACAUUUUUCUGAGAUGCCUCUGUUUGGUGUUUGCUAUGGGGAAGAAUAAAGAAAUAAGACAUACAUUAUUCAUUGACGUGAACAGGAGGAUUUCUGUGAUAUCCCCUCUGGCUUUGACAGGAUGACAGAACAGUCACUCAAGACCUAAGUGUGAACCACCCCUCUCCCCAUCCUGCUAUUUUUUGAAGACUAGAGACUUUACGCCAAUCAUCCAAUAAGUAAAAUGUCCCUCUGGAAUUUCACCUCGUGAAAAAUGAUACCACCAGCCACCGAACUGCCCAAGGGUGAAACAGGGAGCGGGUCUGUUUCUUCUCUUCCUUGUAUUCCAGAUGCCCUCAGAUCCUGAGACCAGUCUUUCUGCCCUAGUUAAAGAGGCUGCUUGCCAUCUUUUACUUCAUCUAUUUUCAUGCUUUCGAGUCAUCCAUUCCCCACUUCCAUUUCACCUCCACCCCGCAGUCCUCCACGCUGGACAGCGUCAUAACCCCAAUACAUUGUGUCCAAUCGCCCACCUUACGUUCAGACUCUGGUGUGUCCACUAGCUCUGCAGAGCCCCGGGGUUCAGUGAUGGUGUCUCAGGGGUCUAGGUAUGCCUGAAAAGAAAGCCCCCCACCCAACUUUUAACUGAGCGGUUCUGUUUUUAUCUGCUUUCUGUCAAAGGAUUCUGAAUCGUAUUUUAUUUGAAAAGUAAAAAGGCCUAAAACUGAAAAGAUUUGGAAACUACUGGCCCACAGGAAGAAAUUCACACUUCAUCCCACAACAUACAACCUGCAACAUACGUCCCAUCCUCUAUUAUACUGUGUCAUGGAAUAACAUAGAAGGUUAUCCGGGGAGAGGUCCCUGCCUGCCAGUCAAUCCAUCUUAUACUCUCAAUUCCAAGACACCUUUGAAACAUUUACAAUUAUGCUGAUUUUCUUACAUCGUACUAGGUGAUCUGUCUUCUCACGUCAUCUCCAAGCCUUGGCACAUUCUGUUUCCUCUGUCUGGAAUCUCUUGCCUCUGCUGGUUGCCUUAAAACUCCUAUUUAUUCUUCAAGUCUCAGCUCAAGGGCUUCUUGGGUGAGGGCUUUCUGAUCUUCUGGCCAAAGGUUGUCCAAUAGAAUGUGGUGCAAUGAAGAGCGUGCUCUGGUUCCCACAUGGCCCAAUCCAGCAGACACCAGCCACAGUGUCACUAGUGCAACCAGGAAACUCAAUUCCUAACUUUGUGUAUAAAAUCAUUUUAAUUAUCUCAAGAGCCAUACAUGAGUCGUGACGACUGCUUUGCGAGAGCAGCUCUAGAUAGACCUACUUUGAGAUUGAUUUCUGUUAUAGAAUUUUCCAUAAAAACUGCAUCACAA